CAAAAAUGUAUUUAUUAUUAUUACGUAUGGCAUGUACAUGUGUGACUUUGCAUACACAUGUACAUCCAUGCAGUAUGCAUGAGGUAGUCCUAACUUGUUUCCUACUGUGGUAAUAAGCACCACUGCCAAAAACUAGCUGCGAAGGAGAGGGUUUUUUCAUCCAUGUCACAGCCCAUCAGGGGUAAGAGCUCAAGUAGGGCAGGAACCUGGGAGCAAGAACUGGAGUGGAAGCUGUAGGUGAGUGCUGCUUGCUCUAUGUGGCUCGCUCAGUCUGCUCUACAGCCCAGGACGACCUGCCCAGGGAUGGCACUGAUCUAAAUGGCCUCUGCCCUCCCACAUCAAUCAUUAAUCAAGAAAAUGCCCAUAGACUUGCCUAAAGACUGUCUGAUGGAGGCAUUUUCUCAAUGAAAGCUCCCUCUUCCUGGAUGAUGCUAGUCUGUGUCAAGUCAACAAAACAAAACACAAAACAAAACAAAACAAAACAAAAACCCUAAGAAACCAAAACAAAACCUAGCACACAAGGCUUGGAUAGCCUGUGCUUUAUCUACUGCAAAGGCCAGAAGAGAGCAUCAGAUCACAAAAUUAUGGAAUGAGGUGGGUGCCUAGGAGAUCAGUAAGCAUUAGGAACUGCUAAGCCAUCUCCCUAGUCCCAUCAAACACAUCUGUGAUCUAAGCACUGAGGAGGUAGAUGCAGAAAGAUCAGGAAUUUGGAAUCAUCCUUAGCCACAGAGUAAGUUUAAAUUCAGUCUAGAUUGUUUGAGACUCUGUCUCAAAAAUCCAAGUGAGAGCCAUUUAUUUGGGACUGGGUGUGGUCUCUUAUACUAGAACUCUCUCAGUGUACACAGACCCUGGUCUCAACCUCCAGCACCACAUCCAUGUACACAAAAAGAAUCUCUCUCCGUGAUGCAGCCAGCAUGUGCUUCUCCUUGUUGGAAUCGUAUUUCAUUAUGUGGCUGGAUCACAGGGCACACAGAAAUCAAGAUGGAAAUGACCUGGAAACCACCUCUCUCCUGGUCAGCUCUUCUAAUGUCAGAAGAUGUUAUGCAGGCUGUUGGGGAAGGCCAUCCUUUGCUACAGAAGACAAGAUCUCACACAGUCCCGGGUGGUCUCUGACUCUGGCUGUCGUGAGGAUGACUUUGAACUGAUCCUCCUGUCUCCGUUUCUUGAGUACUGGAAUGUCAGGCCUGUGUCAUCAUGCUUGAUUUACAGGUCCUGGGAUAUUGAACACAGCCCUUUGCACAAGCUGGGUAAGCACUUUUUAUCAACCUCUCUCUAAUAAAAAGUUUAAUUCACGUACCAGGGGUAAUUUUACUGUCUUUAAACAUUUUUUUUUUCAGCCAGGCAUAGUGGUGCAUGCCUUUAAUCCCAGUACU
Mus musculus (house mouse) is the source of this 1373-nucleotide long non-coding RNA. RefSeq annotates it as predicted gene, 40198. The transcript is spliced from 3 exons. NCBI's taxonomy places the organism in Eukaryota, Metazoa, Chordata, Mammalia, Rodentia, Muridae. The record is from RefSeq and is a predicted model, not a curated record.